AAGCAAAAGGCAAAGACAACUCAAUUCCCAAAAAUUGUUCUCACUUCUUAAAGGUUGCCGAAGCUCGCACGGAGGAUGGACUGUGGAAGAAGAUCGGGCGACUGAGGAAGAGUUUCACACGGAGGAUGGGCGGCCGAAGCUCGACGGUGCCAUGUUAAUUGGCAUCGUCAAUUUCCAUCUCGGCUAACCCCAUCACAGCCCAAUUCGGACUGUUGUCACAUCAUCGUUCCUACUUCAAUACUUCAAUCAGCCCACACAUACGGAAUUUCAUGACAAUAUUGGUGAUUUAGAUGGACCAGAAGAGAGAGCGAGCAAAAGAUUCAAAGGUUUAUUUCAGCCUUUCAGCCUUUUGAUUUCUUAGGUUGUAGACUAAACUUGUGCCAAAGUGAAGGUAGUUCUGCUGAAAGUAAUGAGACUAUGAGAGACAUGUUUGUUUCAUUGUAAAAUGUUCCACCGUUUACAUUCAAAGUAAUCUUUUUAUGAACUUCCAUUCUUUGGAGCUAAUUUUGUAAGUCUUGUGAGAA
Molecule: long non-coding RNA, 524 nt
Organism: Juglans regia (Persian walnut)
Lineage: Eukaryota; Viridiplantae; Streptophyta; Magnoliopsida; Fagales; Juglandaceae
Exons: 3
Source: RefSeq, a predicted model, not a curated record